GAGCGGAUGAAGGGAGCUUGCUCCCGGAUUUAGCGGCGGACGGGUGAGUAAUGCCUAGGAAUCUGCCUGGUAGUGGGGGACAACGACUCGAAAGGGUCGCUAAUACCGCAUACGUCCUACGGGAGAAAGUGGGGGAUCUUCGGACCUCACGCUAUCAGAUGAGCCUAGGUCGGAUUAGCUAGUAGGUGAGGUAAUGGCUCACCUAGGCAACGAUCCGUAACUGGUCUGAGAGGAUGAUCAGUCACACUGGAACUGAGACACGGUCCAGACUCCUACGGGAGGCAGCAGUGGGGAAUAUUGGACAAUGGGCGAAAGCCUGAUCCAGCCAUGCCGCGUGUGUGAAGAAGGUCUUCGGAUUGUAAAGCACUUUAAGUUGGGAGGAAGGGUUGUAGUCUAAUACGCUGCAAUCUUGACGUUACCAACAGAAUAAGCACCGGCUAACUCUGUGCCAGCAGCCGCGGUAAUACAGAGGGUGCAAGCGUUAAUCGGAAUUACUGGGCGUAAAGCGCGCGUAGGCGGCUUGAUAAGAUGGGUGUGAAAUCCCCGGGCUUAACCUGGGAAUUGCAUCCAUAACUGUCUGGCUAGAGUACAGUAGAGGGUGGUGGAAUUUCCUGUGUAGCGGUGAAAUGCGUAGAUAUAGGAAGGAACACCAGUGGCGAAGGCGACCACCU
RNAcentral lists this ribosomal RNA (671 nucleotides) under uncultured Pseudomonadaceae bacterium. RNAcentral's name for it is "bacterial SSU rRNA". It matches the Rfam family "Bacterial small subunit ribosomal RNA", at positions 64 to 730 of the family's 1533-position model. Lineage: Bacteria; Pseudomonadati; Pseudomonadota; Gammaproteobacteria; Pseudomonadales; Pseudomonadaceae. The record is from RNAcentral.